This 375-nucleotide unclassified non-coding RNA is filed under the name uncultured Mortierella. RNAcentral describes it as "sequence contains ITS1". The stretch from base 1 to 104 matches the Rfam family "5.8S ribosomal RNA", at positions 50 to 154 of the family's 154-position model. The record is from RNAcentral. Lineage: Eukaryota; Fungi; Mortierellomycota; Mortierellomycetes; Mortierellales; Mortierellaceae.
GAAAUGCGAUACGUAAUGUGAAUUGCAGAUUCCGUGAAUCAUCAAAUCUUUGAACGCAUAUUGCGCUCAUAGGUAUUCCUGUGAGCAUGCUUGUUUGAGUGUCAGUAUCAUUUUCAACUACAAUCUUUUUUGAUUAAUGGUUGGUUUUGGAUCUUUCUCAAGUCGCAAGACAUGAGUGAUCUUAAAUGUAGAGUCAAUGUAAAAGUCAUUUACUUUUAAGUGUGAUAAUGGUGUUUACAUCUUUUUCUUAACUUUUCAAGUAAUAUUUUACUUUGACCAUACUGAUAUCGGUUAGAUGUCAAACCCACUAGGGAGGAGGUAAAACUUCUCUUGAAACUUGACCUCAAAUCAAGCAAGACUACCCGCUGAACUUAA